GGUAUAAUUGUUUUAUAAUAUAGUCUAAUAUAGCCAUUAACUGAAGCAGUAAUUAAUUAUUCACUGUUACAAUGUGUUGACAAUUUUUUCGGCCAAAAACCGCUUGAAAAUUUGAAAUACUUUUGUUUUACAACUCGAAGACGAAGUGAAAGAAAUGGUUUUAGAAUCUCUAUAUCUCACAGGAAAGCUCAGAUAUAUUAUACAGAUGUUUGGCACUAUAGUAAGUGCUUGUUGACUGCAAAUUCAUUUGUCG
This is a non-coding RNA of Paramuricea clavata, 253 nucleotides long. Lineage: Eukaryota; Metazoa; Cnidaria; Anthozoa; Malacalcyonacea; Plexauridae. The record is from the annotation of a GenBank genome assembly.